This 3408-nucleotide unclassified non-coding RNA is filed under the name Leishmania donovani. Its description in RNAcentral is "gene:LdHU3.34.5480(CDS-product:peroxisome_biosynt hesis_protein-like_protein)". The record is from RNAcentral. Lineage: Eukaryota; Euglenozoa; Kinetoplastea; Trypanosomatida; Trypanosomatidae.
GGGGUAUUCUUGAAGGAAAAGCAAACACGAGCAAGAGAAGUCGCCACUCUUGCGGCACCGAAGAGUCACAUCAACGUCACGUGCCAGAGGGAGGGAGCGGUUACCAUCGCUCACUCGCUCGCACACGUGCCUUCCUUCAUUUCACAGAGCACAUUCCGCCCACAAGAAGAAGCUCCACCCAAAGGCACCAGACACCUCCGGCAAGCACAACUAGCAUUCGCGAGGAGGAGCAGCUCGGAGAAGGGGCAAGAGUCGUGUUUUAUCCCCCACCCGCCAACCACCUCUUUUCUGCGGCACCACACGACUCAUAAAAACUUUUGAAGGACGACUUGUUGGUUUGACCGCUUUCCGUUUUCACCUCUCCUUUUUGAUUCACUGUGCCGUUUGUCCCCCCCCCCCACACACACACACUUAAAGGCCUCGGCCUCGAAGCGGAGCGUUGUUAGUUGGCGCCGCUCGGUCCGCCCAUGCAGCAAUCAUCCUUUGAAGUCGCCGUGGACAGGAGCAGCCAGCACUCCUUCGUGACGGUCUCGCAGCACUACCUCGACACUGUGCUGCGGCCGCUUUACACCGGCCGCCUGCCGCUAGCGGUGCCGUUGCGCAUUACAGGGCGGAGCGGCCACGACAUCUACGUCGGGUGCCUCACCAACCGGCCGCACACGCGCUCCAAGUUUGCGCUUGUUUUCCCCCUUGCGCUCUGCUAUGACCAUGGGCUGAAGGAGGGCGAGCUGGUGGAGUGCGUGCCGCUGCCCAACACGCCGCGUGCGACCAAGGUUCUGGUGGCGCCGCUGACGGUGGAUGACAGCGAGGUAGUGGAGCAGAACGCGCUUCGUGUCGAGAACCUGCUGCUUCGCCAGGUGCAGGUGGUGUUCCCCUCCAUGAUCAUCUCCGUCUCCAUCUUCCCCGGAGUGCCGGCCAAGGUGAUGGUGACCGCCAUCGAGUGCGGCGACGCGGAGAAGCUGCGUAGCGGGUGCGCGACGAUGCACGAGGGCACACAUUUUGUAAUUGCCACCCGUGUCCGUCAGGAGCAGACGGACCGCGGGGCUGAUGGUGCUGCCGCACCGCCGCUCUGGGCCUUUGUCCGCGGGCGGCCCGCUCGUGCCGCCGCUGACAGCGGGGCCGAGCGCAACGACACGGCUGCGGUGCGGGUGCGCCGCGUCACGGCUGACAAGUACCACUGGAAAAACGGUAUGGUGCUCGGCGUCCUCGACUGCGCGACGCUGGCGACACUGAACAGGGAGGAGGUGACUCCGGGGUUUCUGCGGGCACACUUGAAGCAGAUGACCGUCGUUGUCGUGGACAACGCCGACGGCGAGGCAGCGGGAGCUGCGGACGAGGAGGGCGUGUGCGUGGUGGACUCCCUGGCACAGGCGACAAACCUUCUCCUUACUCCUCACGGUCUCGACCUGUCGGCCCCUACGGCUGGGAAGGCUGGCGACGCAACCAGGAACGAUUCUGCCGGAGUGGUCCGUCCGGUGCUCUCGAGUCCCGCGCUACUCCCACUCUCUGCGGUGGCGCUGGACGCCGUCACGCAGGUGCACGGGAGGGUAGCGGAGGAGCUGCAGCAGCACCUUGUGGCCGCCCUCCACCAGUCGAGCGUGCCGCGGUUUGCCAAUCUGCACCAGAACAACGUGCUGCUGUGCGGCGGGAAAGGCUUUGGCAAGUCGACGGUGGUGCGCGCGGUGCUCGACACGCUAUCCGACGUGCACACCGUAACGCUCGAGUGUGGCAAGGUCAAGUCCUUCUCUGCAGACAUCGCCAGGGCCUUGAUGGAGUGCGUUCUGUGCAAGCCAGCGGUGCUGGUGCUGGAGAACUUCGACAGCAUCGCGCCGGCGCAGCAGGAGGGCCACGCGGAGGCGAUGACGGCUAUGACGCGGGCAACACUGGAGGCAACGCUGACACGCUUCUGCUAUCAGUUCUCCGUUCGUCCACAAGGAGCGGUGGUGGUGCUGGCGACAUGCUCGAGCCGCGACGCAGUGCACGAGACGCUGCGGUCGGCUUACUGCUUCCGGCGGGUGCUAACGCUGGAGGCGCUGAAUCGCGCGUCGCGGACGGUGCUGACUGAACAGCUGUUCCCAUACGCGCCGCGCGAAGACGUGGCGGCGGCGGCGGCGCUGAUGGACAACUACACCCCGUUUGACGUGAAGCAGCUGGCGGCGCGGAUGCGGGCGAAGCUGGCGGCGGAGCCGGCCCUGUCGCUGCGCGAGUGCGCCGCGGCCUGCGUGACCUUCUUUACCCCGCUGGCGCACACCGGCAUCAACUUUCUCAAAGGGGACAAGGUGUCGUGGGAGUCGAUUGGCGGGCUGGAGGAGGCGAAGAAGACGCUGUACAAUACGCUGGUGCUGCCGAUCAAGCACCCGCAGCUCUUCGCGCGGCUGCCGCUCAAGACGCGCAGCGGCAUCCUGCUCUACGGCCCAUCGGGGUGCGGCAAGACCUUCAUCGUCGAAUCCCUCGUCAACGCGGAGAACUUGCACUGCAUAGUCAUCAACGGCCCGGAGGUGUUUGGCAAGUACAUUGGGCAGAGCGAGCAGAAGAUCCGCGACGUCUUUGAGCGCGCGCAGGCGGCGGCGCCGUGUGUGGUGUUCUUUGACGAGUUCGACUCGGUGGCGCCGCAGCGCGGCGCUGACGACUCGGGCGUGACGGACCGCGUGGUGAACCAACUGCUGUGCUACCUGGACGGUGUGGAGGGGCGCAAGGACGUGUUUGUCGUCGCGGCCUCGAGCCGGCCGGACCUAAUCGACGCGGCGCUGCUGCGGCCGGGCCGACUUGACAAGGCCGUCGUGUGCCCUGUGCCGAGCGAAGAUGAUCGGGUGGCAAUACUGCGCAGCCUGCUGAGCAAGGCCUCGGCGCACUUCAGCGACGAGGAGCUGCGGCAAGUGGCGCGGCGCACGGUGAACUGGACGCCUGCGGACCUCUCGGCGAUGGUGUCGUCGGCGAGCACGCUGAUGAGCAUGCGGUUCGUGGAGCGCCUGACAAAGCAGGCGGCUGGCGUGUCAGGCAGCAUCGCUGGUUGUGGCACCGCGCCGGAUGACGAGGAUGGGUUUGUGAUUGCUGGCCUCGGCCACGGUGUGACGCGAGAAAAGGUGGGGGACACGUUGAAGCCGCUGUGCCUAGCCACCCACGGCGGGGCGGAGGCGGCUGUCUCCGACACGGCCGCCCUCGCAGCGGAGCUGAUGUCGAUAGACGACUUGUGGGCGUCUGUGGCGACGACGCGGCCGUCGCUGUCGGAGAAGGACAUCCAAAAGCAUGAGCGCAUCCACGCCUUGUUCUCCAAGGGCAAGAGCGCUCCUCCGCCCAAGCCUCCCGGGUCACGGCUCGUCACGCGAUGAGCGCCCGCCCCCCGGAUGAUAUGGAGGAGGUUGUCGCUGUGAUUUCUCGCUUGUCUUAUGCCCAACGAGCAACUGAAAU